UGGUCGCACGAGCGCACCCCUACCGCCAGUUGCCAUCAUUCAGUUGGGCACUCUGGUGGAACUGCCGGUGACAAGCCGGAGGAAGGCGGGGAUGACGUCAAGUCCUCAUGGCCCUUAUGGGUUGGGCUACACACGUGCUACAAUGGCGGUGACAGUGGGAUGCGAAGUCGCAAGAUGGAGCCAAUCCCCAAAAGCCGUCUCAGUUCGGAUUGCACUCUGCAACUCGGGUGCAUGAAGUUGGAAUCGCUAGUAAUCGCGGAUCAGCACGCCGCGGUGAAUACGUUCCCGGGCCUUGUACACACCGCCCGU
Molecule: ribosomal RNA, 309 nt
Filed under: uncultured Azospirillum sp.
Lineage: Bacteria; Pseudomonadati; Pseudomonadota; Alphaproteobacteria; Rhodospirillales; Azospirillaceae
Description: bacterial SSU rRNA
Rfam family: Bacterial small subunit ribosomal RNA
Source: RNAcentral